GACCACUGUGGCUACCUUAGAGACUGCCAACUACAGCUGUCUAAAACCACCAUGAAGUGCAGGGUUAGGACAGACUUGGUGUCAUGAGUGAAGACAGAAUUAUCUAUGCACUGAUGCUUGUGAAAAAGGUAGUUAUGGAGGCGAGGACGCUGAAGCAAAAGCCAAGAGAUGUAGGUUUUGGUCCUGGUGAAAGCAACCAACCAACAGGGAAGCCUGGAGCAUGUUCAUCCCCACUGCUCAGCCCUUUUCUUGAGCAGUCAAGUUUUGGAGUCAAGUUUUGGAAUCAGAAGUUAACACUUCAAUGCAGGUUCUAGUCCAUAGCAACAGCAGUGUAUCUAGUUCUAGAAUGUAUUUGCGUUGCCUGAUUUUGGACAUUUCUGUCAAUUCUGAGUCCCAGGGAUCUGGGGAACUGUGGCCAAGAGGAGCCAAAGCCAUGGGCAAUACAUCUGCCUGAUUGGCAGAAUGGAAAAAAGACUAUUCACUAUAAAACACACGUUAAGGAAGCAGCUCUUAGUGAGUUUCUCCUCAUCCACCAGGAGGAACCUGGUUGUCAGGGGCUGAAAUGACUCCACAGUGCCAAUCCAACCUGCCACUAGAUGUUGUAGUCAGAAAUGGUGUGGGCUGAGAGAAGAGGGCAAGUCUUGAUUCUCCAGUGGAAGACUUGCUUCUGGUGCUGGGAAGAAAACACUGUCUGAGACACAGUGUCUCCUCUGGGGAUGGCACUGGAAGGUUUUUUUUUCCUGGCUAGUCCUCACUUUGUGCAUUAAAGAAAGGACACCAGAGACACCAGUACUUAGUGUUGGAUUGAACGAAAUACCAGGCCUUCAUCAUGAGCAAUAAGAAUAAAGUUCACUUUGGUUUU
Mus pahari (shrew mouse) is the source of this 862-nucleotide long non-coding RNA. RefSeq lists it as uncharacterized. NCBI's taxonomy places the organism in Eukaryota, Metazoa, Chordata, Mammalia, Rodentia, Muridae. The record is from RefSeq and is a predicted model, not a curated record. The transcript is spliced from 4 exons.